UGGGGAAUAUUGGACAAUGGGGGAAACCCUGAUCCAGCAAUGCCGCGUGAGUGAAGAAGGCCUUAGGGUUGUAAAGCUCUUUCGCCCGCGAAGAUAAUGACGGUAGCGGGAGAAGAAGCCCCGGCUAACUCCGUGCCAGCAGCCGCGGUAAUACGGAGGGGGCUAGCGUUGUUCGGAAUUACCGGGCGUAAAGCGUACGUAGGCGGAUGCGCAAGUUGGGGGUGAAAUCCCGGGGCUUAACCUCGGAAUUGCCCUCAAAACUGCACGUCUUGAGACCGAGAGAGGUAAGGGGAAUUCCUAGUGUAGAGGUGAAAUUCGUAGAUAUUAGGAAGAACACCAGUGGCGAAGGCGCCUUACUGGCUCGGUACUGACGCUGAGGUACGAAAGCGUGGGGAGCAAACA
RNAcentral lists this ribosomal RNA (402 nucleotides) under uncultured bacterium. RNAcentral's name for it is "bacterial SSU rRNA". It matches the Rfam family "Bacterial small subunit ribosomal RNA", at positions 355 to 774 of the family's 1533-position model. The record is from RNAcentral.